RNAcentral lists this ribosomal RNA (563 nucleotides) under Salmonella enterica subsp. enterica serovar Newport str. L0167. RNAcentral's name for it is "bacterial LSU rRNA". It matches the Rfam family "Bacterial large subunit ribosomal RNA", at positions 2380 to 2925 of the family's 2925-position model. Lineage: Bacteria; Pseudomonadati; Pseudomonadota; Gammaproteobacteria; Enterobacterales; Enterobacteriaceae. The record is from RNAcentral.
CGUGACGGCGCGAGCAGGUGCGAAAGCAGGUCAUAGUGAUCCGGUGGUUCUGAAUGGAAGGGCCAUCGCUCAACGGAUAAAAGGUACUCCGGGGAUAACAGGCUGAUACCGCCCAAGAGUUCAUAUCGACGGCGGUGUUUGGCACCUCGAUGUCGGCUCAUCACAUCCUGGGGCUGAAGUAGGUCCCAAGGGUAUGGCUGUUCGCCAUUUAAAGUGGUACGCGAGCUGGGUUUAGAACGUCGUGAGACAGUUCGGUCCCUAUCUGCCGUGGGCGCUGGAGAACUGAGGGGGGCUGCUCCUAGUACGAGAGGACCGGAGUGGACGCAUCACUGGUGUUCGGGUUGUCAUGCCAAUGGCACUGCCCGGUAGCUAAAUGCGGAAGAGAUAAGUGCUGAAAGCAUCUAAGCACGAAACUUGCCCCGAGAUGAGUUCUCCCUGAGACUUUAAGUCUCCUGAAGGAACGUUGAAGACGACGACGUUGAUAGGCCGGGUGUGUAAGCGCAGCGAUGCGUUGAGCUAACCGGUACUAAUGAACCGUGAGGCUUAACCUUACAACGCCGAAG